AGAAUCAACGCUGGCGGCGUGCCUAACACAUGCAAGUCGAACGAGAAAGUGGAGCAAUCCAUGAGUAAAGUGGCGCACGGAUGAGUAACACGUGACUAACCUACCUUUUAGUGGGGGAUAACCUAGGGAAACCUGGGCUAAUACCGCAUAAUACCUACGGGUCAAAGCAGCAAUGCGCUGGAAGAGGGGGUCGCGGUCGAUUAGUUAGUUGGCAGGGUAAUGGCCUGCCAAGACUGUGAUCGAUA
This 245-nucleotide ribosomal RNA is filed under the name uncultured bacterium. RNAcentral describes it as "partial small subunit ribosomal RNA". It matches the Rfam family "Bacterial small subunit ribosomal RNA", at positions 26 to 285 of the family's 1533-position model. The record is from RNAcentral.